AGGGAAUAGAUACCCUGGUAGUCCACGCUGUAAACGAUGGAUGCUAGCCGUCGGGGGUUACCGUCUCGGUGGCGCAGCUAAACGCGCUAAGCAUCCCGCCUGGGGAGUACGGUCGCAAGAUUAAAACUCAAAGGAAUUGACGGGGACCCGGCACAAGCGGUGGAACAUGUGGUUUAAUUCGAGGCAACGCGAAGAACCUUACCAGGCUUUGACAUGCUCUCUGUGAACCCAAGAAAUUGGGCUCUUCACCUCGGGUGGGAGAUGCACAGGUGCUGCAUGGCUGUCGUCAGCUCGUGUCGUGAGAUGUUGGGUUAAGUCCCGCAACGAGCGCAACCCUCGUCCUCUGUUGCUAACAGGUAAUGCUGAGAACUCUGAGGAAACUGCCGGUGAUAAGCCGGAGGAAGGUGGGGUAGU
This 414-nucleotide ribosomal RNA is filed under the name uncultured bacterium. Its description in RNAcentral is "bacterial SSU rRNA". It matches the Rfam family "Bacterial small subunit ribosomal RNA", at positions 773 to 1182 of the family's 1533-position model. The record is from RNAcentral.